UUUAGAUGGCGACCGGCGCACGGGUGAGUAACACGUAUCCAACCUGCCGAUGACUCGGGGAUAGCCUUUCGAAAGAAAGAUUAAUACCCGAUGGCAUAGUUCUUCCGCAUGGUAGAACUAUUAAAGAAUUUCGGUCAUCGAUGGGGAUGCGUUCCAUUAGGUUGUUGGCGGGGUAACGGCCCACCAAGCCUUCGAUGGAUAGGGGUUCUGAGAGGAAGGUCCCCCACAUUGGAACUGAGACACGGUCCAAACUCCUACGGGAGGCAGCAUG
This 271-nucleotide ribosomal RNA is filed under the name uncultured bacterium. RNAcentral's name for it is "partial 16S ribosomal RNA". It matches the Rfam family "Bacterial small subunit ribosomal RNA", at positions 83 to 353 of the family's 1533-position model. The record is from RNAcentral.